This 497-nucleotide ribosomal RNA is filed under the name uncultured bacterium. Its description in RNAcentral is "partial 16S ribosomal RNA". It matches the Rfam family "Bacterial small subunit ribosomal RNA", at positions 28 to 507 of the family's 1533-position model. The record is from RNAcentral.
GAUGAACGCUGGCGGCGUGCCUAAUACAUGCAAGUCGAGCGAACGGACGAGAAACUUGCUUCACUGAUGUUAGCGGCGGACGGGUGAGUAACACGUGGAUAACCUACCUAUAAGACUGGGAUAACUUCGGGAAACCGGAGCUAAUACCGGAUAAUAUUUUGAACCGCAUGGUUCAAAAGUGAAAGACGGUCUUGCUGUCACUUAUAGAUGGAUCCGCGCUGCAUUAGCUAGUUGGUAAGGUAACGGCUUACCAAGGCAACGAUGCAUAGCCGACCUGAGAGGCUGAUCGGCCACAGUGGAAGUGAGACACGGACCAGACUCCUACGGGAUGCAGCAGUAGGGAAACUUCCGCCAUGGGCGAAAGCCUGACGGAGCAACGCCGCGUGAGUGAUGAAGGUCUUCGGAUCCUAAAACGUUGUUACUAGGGAAGAACAUAUGUGUAAGUAACUGUGCACAUCUUGACGGUACCUAAUCAGAAAGCCACGGCUAACUACGUG